This 468-nucleotide ribosomal RNA is filed under the name uncultured bacterium. RNAcentral describes it as "partial 16S ribosomal RNA". It matches the Rfam family "Bacterial small subunit ribosomal RNA", at positions 28 to 507 of the family's 1533-position model. The record is from RNAcentral.
GACGAACGCUGGCGGCGUGCUUAACACAUGCAAGUCGAACGGAAAGGCCCUGCUUUUGUGGGGUGCUCGAGUGGCGAACGGGUGAGUAACACGUGAGUAACCUGCCCUUGACUUUGGGAUAACUUCAGGAAACUGGGGCUAAUACCGGAUAGGAGCUCCUGCUGCAUGGUGGGGGUUGGAAAGUUUCGGCGGUUGGGGAUGGACUCGCGGCUUAUCAGCUUGUUGGUGGGGUAGUGGCUUACCAAGGCUUUGACGGGUAGCCGGCCUGAGAGGGUGACCGGCCACAAUGGGACUGAGAUACGGCCCAGAAUCCUACGGGAGGCAGAAGUGGGGAAAAAUGCAACAUGGGCGGAAGCCUGAUGCAGCAACGCCGCGUGCGGGAUGACGGCCUUCGGGUUGUAAACCGCUUUCGCCUGUGACGAAGCGUGAGUGACGGUAAUGGGUAAAGAAGCACCGGCUAACUACGUG